Molecule: long non-coding RNA, 1593 nt
Organism: Numida meleagris (helmeted guineafowl)
Lineage: Eukaryota; Metazoa; Chordata; Aves; Galliformes; Numididae
Exons: 3
Source: RefSeq, a predicted model, not a curated record
UUUGCCCUUUUCAGUUCAGGCACAGCGUGGGGCGAGCUGAGCCUUCCCUACAGAAGGCAGCUCCUGCUCCCAGCCCCGCUGCCCCGCUCGGGGCCGUGGGACCGGGGGGAGUCCAGGAAACCCGGCCGGGGAGAAGAGGAAACCGACGUGUGAGCUGCGGGUGGCUGUGCGUCAUGCCAGGCCUUUGGCUCUUGUUUCCUUCUCCUGAACUCGUGCAGUGUGCGCCGUUCUGUGCAGGAGAUGCCAUGGGGUAGGCUCCCUCCCUGCUGCAGACAGGUGGUGACCGGUUAUCCGGGUCCAUGCCACGCUCCAGCAGACUGCUUCCCUCUGGAAGUUCUCCUUCCCUCUGGAGAGCAGAUGUCCCACGAAGGAGCCGAUCGGAUCCAUUGGGGCUGGCCACGUGAAUGGCAAACUCUGCUCUGCAAAGCCUUGGAAAUGAAGCCCACCUGAAACCAAUCCCGGCUUUGGCCAGAGGGUUUCAAGGUGAUGUAUCAGAAAGAUGUACCUGUGUCCGACAGCGUCCUUUGCUUCCCUGCUAUUCUGAAGGAAUAUCUAGCGGGAAGAAUACCAGCUCAGCACUGAUGGCUCCUGGUGAUCCCACAAGGAGGGCUGCCUGCUCUCUGGCGCAGCAGAGGCCCCAGCAAGCGGAUGGUUUGCUGCUGUUCCUGCAGAACCCGCUGCAGCUCUGAGCAGGCCCCAGGCACCGCCCGCCGCCGUCCGCUCCCGCAGCAGCGCAGCCGCUCCCGUCCCAGUAAGAGCAGGAUUUCCAUCGGCGCUCUCAUGUCUGGAUGGAAACUGGGGCUGCAGCUCAUACAUAUACAGACUGAGCUGCUGGACCAGUAAUUCUUCUGUCUCUUUUUUUCUACUUGUAAGACGUGGCUCUGUAUUGAAUCUCUGAAAUUUGAAGGUCCAGGCCCCAGAAGCAGGGUGAUGAUCUGGAAUGUGCUGCGUCCCUCUUGGGUGCGUGGCUCUCCCCUCACUGCAGAAGAGGAAGGGGCUCCGUCCUUCGGGGGGAAAUUCCAGUUUGGGGUAAUGCAAAUGGGAACACCAUGUGUGUCCUUUUUCAUUCAAAUUACAUACAAAAAAAUUGUGAUACGAGCCAUGAGCAAAGGCAGAACAGAGCCUAGAGUCUUUAAUCUUUAAAAUCUAUUUUACAUGAUUAAAAGGAUCCUGCCUGGAGAAAAGCAAGACUGGCUAUUUAUAUCUCCAUUCUUCUCCCCCUUCUUUUUCCUCAGAAAAUACUGUGCAGUCUUUCACAUCUGAAAGACCACGGCUGGCUGCCAUUAAUUUUAAUGCUAAAUCCUCAUCAGCAUUUCAAAACAUUAUGAAAAUGUCGAAGAAACUGUCUUCUAGUAGCUUGAAAAUAUCGCAGGCAGCAACCUAAAUAAUACUGUAAGUGCCCUGGUAAGUACAAGAGCACAUGCUGGAGAGGAAAAGAGAAAAAGAAAAGGCUUUAGACCACCACGCAAACAUCACUUCUACAAAGCAGGCGUAAAUGGAUUGCAGGAUUUCAUGGAUGCUGAGAGUUUGAAUUACUGACUGAGCUGCACCUCUCUUAGAGAGAACGUGGCUUUUUUUUUUUUUUUAGGGAAU